AUUGAACGCUGGCGGCAUGCCUUACACAUGCAAGUCGAACGGCAGCACGGGGGGUAACCCCUGGUGGCGAGUGGCGAACGGGUGAGUAAUAUAUCGGAACAUGCCCUGUAGCGGGGGAUAACGCGUCGAAAGAUGUGCUAAUACCGCAUACGCUCUACGGAGGAAAGCGGGGGUUUUCGGGCAACUGAGGACCUCGCACUAUAGGAGUGGCCGAUAUCGGAUUAGCUAGUGGCGGGGUAAAAGCCCACCAAGGCGACGAUCCGUAGCUGGUCUGAGAGGAUGAUCAGCCACACUGGAACUGAGACACGGUCCAGACUCCUACGGGAGGCAGCAGUGGGAAUUUUGGACAAUGGGCGCAAGCCUGAUCCAGCCAUGCCGCGUGAGUGAAGAAGGCCUGGUUGUAAG
RNAcentral lists this ribosomal RNA (405 nucleotides) under uncultured bacterium. Its description in RNAcentral is "bacterial SSU rRNA". It matches the Rfam family "Bacterial small subunit ribosomal RNA", at positions 30 to 429 of the family's 1533-position model. The record is from RNAcentral.